CUAUAUUUUUUAAAAUGCCGUUUCUGCGUUUGGGUUUCCGUUUCUGUACUUCAUAGUCUUUUCAUUCCAAAUUUUAUAUUUCUAUAAAUUUAUGAGACUUGAGAGAAAAACUAGUCAUUUGGAAUUUUAGAGAGAAGCUUCCUCUGGCUAUCCCCCUUUGUUGUAACUCCCAAAUUAAUGAUGCAAGGAAAUUUUAAGUAGCGUUUGGUUUAAUCCUAAAAAGCAACAUUUUUGCUUUUUUGAAUGUGCAAAAAGAAAAACAUUGUUUGUUUGAACAUUGAAAAUUGGUUUUUUAUUAUUAUUUUUUUAAUAAUCUUAGUCGAAUUUUAAAUCUCACAGUUAAAAAGAAAUCAAUAAUUAAAUUUGUAUACGUGUUAAUCUAUUAUUUGUUUGUUAUUUUACACCUUAUGUGACAUGGAAUAACUGCUCACUAUGAAAUUUAUUGGGAGGCAAUGAGAUGGGUUUGCCAGAUCUGCGGAAUGAGAGCAUGCAUGGUGCCAAAAUUAUGGCAGGUUUCUGCCAAACAGUUGCAGAAAACUUCUUCUGGCCAAUUCAUGGAUUGGACUUAUUAAUACACAAAUUUGAAUUUCACCCAUAAAAAUAUUCGCUCUUUAAUUUGUGCUAUUAAUUAAAAUAAAAUUAAUUAAAUAAACAGGAUGAAAUUUAUAAUUAAUAAUUUUUUUAAUAAGUAUAAAUAUGCAUUCAUUAAAAUUUAUUUAAUGUACUCUAUUAGUAAGGAAAAUUACAAUUUUAAUAUAAAUGCAUCUCAUUAAUGUGCAUUUGUUAUUAAAAUUAUAGUUUCCUUAUACUAGUAGAGUAUAAAAAAUACCCAAAGAUUUUCAUUUUCUUUCCCCUACUCCAAACAUUACAUCAUGAAUUUCAUUUUUUUUUUAAAUUAAAGAGGAGGAAUUAAUUAAGGUGAAAAUGAGUUUAUAUAAUUUUCCAGAUUAG
This 951-nucleotide unclassified non-coding RNA is filed under the name Hevea brasiliensis (rubber tree). The record is from RNAcentral. Lineage: Eukaryota; Viridiplantae; Streptophyta; Magnoliopsida; Malpighiales; Euphorbiaceae.